AUUGAACGCUGGCGGCAGGCCUAACACAUGCAAGUCGAACGGUAACAGGAAGAAUCUUGCUUCUUUGCUGACGAGUGGCGGACGGGUGAGUAAUGUCUGGGAAACUGCCUGAUGGAGGGGGAUAACUACUGGAAACGGUAGCUAAUACCGCAUAACGUCUCAAGACCAAAGAGGGGGACCUUCUGGCCUCUUUCCAUCGGAUGUGCCCAGAUGGGAUUAGCUAGUAGGUGGGGUAACGGCUCACCUAGGCGACGAUCCCUAGCUGGUCUGAGAGGAUGACCAGACACACUGGAACUGAGACACGGUCCAGACUCCUACGGGAGGCAGCAGUGGGGAAUAUUGCACAAUGGGCGCAAGCAUGAUGCAGAAAUGCCGCGUGUAUGAAGAAGGCCUUCGGGUUGUAAAGUACUUUCAGCGGGGAGGAAGGGAGUAAAGUUAAUACCUUGGCUCAUUGACGUUACCCGCAGAAGAAGCACCGGCUAACUCCGUG
Molecule: ribosomal RNA, 490 nt
Filed under: uncultured bacterium
Lineage: Bacteria
Description: partial 16S ribosomal RNA
Rfam family: Bacterial small subunit ribosomal RNA
Source: RNAcentral